Molecule: ribosomal RNA, 497 nt
Filed under: uncultured bacterium
Lineage: Bacteria
Description: partial 16S ribosomal RNA
Rfam family: Bacterial small subunit ribosomal RNA
Source: RNAcentral
GAUGAACGCUGGCGGCGUGCCUAAUACAUGCAAGUCGAGCGAACAGACGAGUAGCUUUCUCCUCUUACGUUUGCGGCUGACGGGUGAGUAACACGUGUAUAACCUACCUAUAUUACUUGUAUAACUUCGUGAAACCGUAUCUAAUACCGUAUAAUAUAUUGAACCGCAUUGUUCAUUAGUUCAUUACGGUUUUUCUGUCUCUUAUAGAUGGUUCCGCGCGGCAUUAGCUAGUUGGUAAGGUAACGGCUUACCAAGGCAACGAUGCGUAGCCGACCUGAUAGGGUGAGCGGAGAAACGGGAAGGGAGACACGGACAAGAGUACUACGGGAGGCAGCAGAAGGGAAUGUGCCGCAAUGGGGGAAAGCCUGACGGAGCAAAGCCGAGUGAGUGAAGAAGGUGUUAGGAUCGUAAAAAAAUGUUAUUAGGGAAGAAAAAAAGUGUAAGUAAAUAUGCACGUAUUGACGGUAACGAAUAAGAAAGCAACGGCUAACUACGUG